Molecule: long non-coding RNA, 1848 nt
Organism: Pezoporus flaviventris
Lineage: Eukaryota; Metazoa; Chordata; Aves; Psittaciformes; Psittacidae
Exons: 2
Source: RefSeq, a predicted model, not a curated record
AGAAACCGCUUCACCUCAUUGCUCUAGAUGCUCUUACCAGUUAAAAUACGUCUGGCCCACCAUAAAGAAGCAGUCCUACGGUACACUCCAUCUGUGUGAUGUACUUUGCCUAAAAAAGGGUUUUGGAAGCUGAGUAAACAGAGCCUGAGCCUGCACGAAGGGGAUUAAGAAGGAAAGGCAAGAGUGGAAGGGAAAAUGAGGAUAUGACAGAGGCCAUAGUGAGUUCAAACAAAAUUUGGCCUGCAGAAGGCAGAAGAAAUCCCACUGGUGACAGGUGCCAUCUUGUGGGUCAUUCUGCCACUCUGCCUCCUGCCACUUUUUAUAACAAGAAGAGAUAAAGGAGGACUGGGCUCUUCGAGGCUUUGAAUUGGAAAAGUAAUUCAAAGGGAUGUGAACAUGGUUGGCUUCAGGGUUUGCAUGAUACUGUAAACAUCAAUGCUUUGCUUGUCAGCACUCUAUGCUAUUUAGGAAUGUUAAAUUCAGCUAUAAAUAGAGACUAUGUGCGUGUCUAGAAACAUGUAAUCAUAAAUAGUACGAAUGAUAAUCAAAUUAUUUUUACUUUAUAGUAAUGCAAAUAAAAUAUUCAUGCAUCAUGUAGGCCUAGGAAAGGUUACAGCCUGCAAACUGUGCUAAUUAAAAUGUAAUAGCACCAAGGAGUAUAUGUAAGAGUUACUAAUGUCUGUAUUUUCCCUCUUUCCUGUAAGAUCUUAUAUUUAAUGAAUACAUAAAAAUGCAAUGGUUAGCUGGUACUUUAGCUUUGUCUUUUUUCAGGAAAUAUAUUUUGAAGGACUGUGCAAAAAAUUAUCACAGCAUCUACUAAACCAAAAUCAAAUAUACUACAAUGAAACAUAUAUAAUCUUUUUUAGAGGAAAAGAUAGUCUUUCAGGUGUGAACCCAAAUUCCAUCAGGAAAUUAGAACAUCAUUUAUUCUUAAAGGUUUCGUGAUUUAAAAGAAAAAUUAAAAGAGGGUCAAACCUGAUGUCAUAUUUUAAUAUUAUUUUUACACUAAAUUUAAGGGUCUAAAUUUUCAGAAAUAGACUUUGGCUUUACAAAUUACUGAUUUAUAAUACUGUCAGACCAACAAGACAAACUUGGAAUUAGCUUUUUCCCUUGUUCGUACUCCUGUCCAUAAUAUGUUGUCCUUCCAGGGACUUGUAGGAAACAACUGCCCUGGAAUGAAUGAGCUGUAAGGAUAGCAAGCUUUAAGCUGAUGCAUACAGUUUUUUCUAAGCUUGCUGUAUAGUAAGUAUUUAUGUAGUAUUUAUGCCAGAAGUCAAAUAAGUCGAUGUAAUGUUAUCUGGGUAGGGAAAAACAGCAGUGCCAUUUGAGAGUGCCCAUCACAGCUAUAGGUGAGCUCUGUUCAGAAUUUGUAAGGAGAGAGCAAAUCCAUGAAGAAUGUCAAGUAAAUUUGACUGAUUAAUGCAUUUGAAAAGAAUUCUUAUUCCUUUGCAAGCAUUCUGUCAUUAUGAGGAAUAUGAAGAUCAUCAAAUGCAUUAUUCUGUCCCCAUGAUUUGCUUAUCCCCAGUUGUGAAUCAGUGCAUGAGACUUGACUGUGAAUGGCUGCAGUCAAUGGCCGUAUUGUGCAUGGGCAUAAUUCAUGGUGAUGGCAAGUGAACGCACGCUUAAUAUUAUUUAGUCACCUAAACUUAGGAAGUUGCAUAAAUGUGGCCGUGAUUGAAGUGUGCUCUGUGGAACCCAUCUUUGCAUGUAAAUAAAAGUAAUUAUAUAUAUGUUCAGACUUUUUAGGACAGCAAAAAAACCUCCUGGACGUGCAUUUUGCUCAGUUAUUCGUGAAAUUAAGAAAUUAUUUGUAAUAAAAUUUCCCGUCGGUUAAUUAUGACAUUUUAA